Molecule: RNA transcript, 724 nt
Organism: Gossypium raimondii (Peruvian cotton)
Lineage: Eukaryota; Viridiplantae; Streptophyta; Magnoliopsida; Malvales; Malvaceae
Gene name: SUMO-conjugating enzyme SCE1-like
Exons: 3
Source: RefSeq, a predicted model, not a curated record
UUUUGGGCCGGGUUGAGUGUACCAACCAAUUAUCAAUUAUCAAUGAUCAGGUGUAGGAGGAAGUAAGAGAAGAUACGUCGGGAGGAAUAGCGCGUGGUCGACUUGCCAAGGAAUGAAAAGCAUAGAGGAAAAACCAUCCUCAUGAAUUUGUUGCGAAACCUGAGUCAUUAUUCCUGUGAAGAUUAUCAUAGCAAGCCUCCAGAGUGUAAAUUUCCACAAGGUUUUUUUCCACCCAAACGUUUACCCAUCUGGUACUAUUUGCCUUUCGAUCCUUAAUGAGGAUAGUGUAAGUAUUUUCUCCUCUUGAUUGUUGUUUUACAUACUUGGAUCAGAGUGAUUCCAUCGCUCCAUCUUGGAGGUUUAAGGCCAUUUUUGUUUCCAUAGGGCUGGAGACCUGCCAUAACCGUGAAACAGAUUCUUGUGGGAAUCCAGGACUUGCUGAAUGCACCAAAUACUACCGAUCCUGCUCAAGCUGAAGGGUACAACAUCUUGAUACAUGUAUGUUUCUUGAGUUGAUUUUGCAUUGACUGGAUAAUCUUGAUUAUGAACUGAAUGAUUAUAACGUUCCUGAUAUCAUUUUUAAAUCGAUCUAACUCAUUAAACCUUAUUCUAUUUAAGAUGGUUAUUGGUUGCUAAAUGCAAUAAAGUUUCUAGGCAUGGCACUCUGUAUUCCUCCCUUUUCGAGGAGCUUCAAUUAAAGUAAAAUCAUAAUCAUUUAAUCAUA